CUUUUGUGGCCCGUCUUUUGCAGCGCUGCAUUGCAGGUAGAUUGCAUCGGUGAUGAGGGAUACUGUCAGGGACCGUGUGGCGAGAAAGUUCAGGAUCAGCUGGAGUGCGUUGUCUUGGGCUUGUUCAUCCGGGUGCGUUGAGGAAAAUUAAGCUGAGUCGAGGAAGGUGGUGACCGUGCACGAGUUUGGGAGCUGACUGGAGUGCGCUUUUCCAUCGGAUAUAGAUAUCGUUAAUAUAUUUAUAAAUAGAUGUAGAUUUAAUUGGAUGUGUCCAUGUC
Molecule: long non-coding RNA, 278 nt
Organism: Drosophila sechellia
Lineage: Eukaryota; Metazoa; Arthropoda; Insecta; Diptera; Drosophilidae
Exons: 3
Source: RefSeq, a predicted model, not a curated record